This 429-nucleotide ribosomal RNA is filed under the name bacterium. RNAcentral describes it as "partial 16S ribosomal RNA". It matches the Rfam family "Bacterial small subunit ribosomal RNA", at positions 355 to 776 of the family's 1533-position model. The record is from RNAcentral.
UAGGGAAUCUUCCACAAUGGACGCAAGUCUGAUGGAGCAACGCCGCGUGAGUGAAGAAGGUUUUCGGAUCGUAAAGCUCUGUUGUUGGUGAAGAAGGAUAGAGGCAGUAACUGGUCUUUAUUUGACGGUAAUCAACCAGAAAGUCACGGCUAACUACGUGCCAGCAGCCGCGGUAAUACGUAGGUGGCAAGCGUUGUCCGGAUUUAUUGGGCGUAAAGCGAGCGCAGGCGGAAUGAUAAGUCUGAUGUGAAAGCCCACGGCUCAACCGUGGAACUGCAUCUGAAACUGUCAUUCUUGAGUGCAGAAGAGGAGAGUGGAAUUCCAUGUGUAGCGGUGGAAUGCGUAGAUAUAUGGAAGAACACCAGUGGCGAAGGCGGCUCUCUGGUCUGCAACUGACGCUGAGGCUCGAAAGCAUGGGUAGCGAACAGG